Molecule: ribosomal RNA, 1341 nt
Filed under: Staphylococcus capitis
Lineage: Bacteria; Bacillati; Bacillota; Bacilli; Caryophanales; Staphylococcaceae
Description: bacterial SSU rRNA
Rfam family: Bacterial small subunit ribosomal RNA
Source: RNAcentral
GAUGAACGSUGGCGGCGUGCCUAAUACAUGCAAGUCGAGCGAACAGACGAGGAGCUUGCUCCUCUGACGUUAGCGGCGGACGGGUGAGUAACACGUGGAUAACCUACCUAUAAGACUGGGAUAACUUCGGGAAACCGGAGCUAAUACCGGAUAACAUGUUGAACCGCAUGGUUCAACAGUGAAAGACGGUCUUGCUGUCACUUAUAGAUGGAUCCGCGCCGCAUUAGCUAGUUGGUAAGGUAACGGCUUACCAAGGCAACGAUGCGUAGCCGACCUGAGAGGGUGAUCGGCCACACUGGAACUGAGACACGGUCCAGACUCCUACGGGAGGCAGCAGUAGGGAAUCUUCCGCAAUGGGCGAAAGCCUGACGGAGCAACGCCGCGUGAGUGAAGAAGGUCUUCGGAUCGUAAAACUCUGUUAUUAGGGAAGAACAAAUGUGUAAGUAACUAUGCACGUCUUGACGGUACCUAAUCAGAAAGCCACGGCUAACUACGUGCCAGCAGCCGCGGUAAUACGUAGGUGGCAAGCGUUAUCCGGAAUUAUUGGGCGUAAAGCGCGCGUAGGCGGUUUUUUAAGUCUGAUGUGAAAGCCCACGGCUCAACCGUGGAGGGUCAUUGGAAACUGGAAAACUUGAGUGCAGAAGAGGAAAGUGGAAUUCCAUGUGUAGCGGUGAAAUGCGCAGAGAUAUGGAGGAACACCAGUGGCGAAGGCGACUUUCUGGUCUGUAACUGACGCUGAUGUGCGAAAGCGUGGGGAUCAAACAGGAUUAGAUACCCUGGUAGUCCACGCCGUAAACGAUGAGUGCUAAGUGUUAGGGGGUUUCCGCCCCUUAGUGCUGCAGCUAACGCAUUAAGCACUCCGCCUGGGGAGUACGACCGCAAGGUUGAAACUCAAAGGAAUUGACGGGGACCCGCACAAGCGGUGGAGCAUGUGGUUUAAUUCGAAGCAACGCGAAGAACCUUACCAAAUCUUGACAUCCUCUGACCCCUCUAGAGAUAGAGUUUUCCCCUUCGGGGGACAGAGUGACAGGUGGUGCAUGGUUGUCGUCAGCUCGUGUCGUGAGAUGUUGGGUUAAGUCCCGCAACGAGCGCAACCCUUAAGCUUAGUUGCCAUCAUUAAGUUGGGCACUCUAAGUUGACUGCCGGUGACAAACCGGAGGAAGGUGGGGAUGACGUCAAAUCAUCAUGCCCCUUAUGAUUUGGGCUACACACGUGCUACAAUGGACAAUACAAAGGGUAGCGAAACCGCGAGGUCAAGCAAAUCCCAUAAAGUUGUUCUCAGUUCGGAUUGUAGUCUGCAACUCGACUACAUGAAGCUGGAAUCGCUAGUAAUCGUAGAUC